UACGGGGGGGGCAAGCGUUGUUCGGAAUUACUGGGCGUAAAGGGUCUGUAGGUGGCCAACUAAGUCAGACGUGAAAUCCCUCAGCUUAACUGGGGAACUGCGUCUGAUACUGGUUGGCUUGAGUGCAGGAGAGGAAUGCGGAAUUCCAGGUGUAGCGGUGAAAUGCGUAGAUAUCUGGAGGAACACCGGUGGCGAAGGCGGUUCUCUGGGCCUUACCUGACGCUGAGGAGCGAAAGCGUGGGGAGCGAACAGG
Molecule: ribosomal RNA, 253 nt
Filed under: uncultured bacterium
Lineage: Bacteria
Description: partial 16S ribosomal RNA
Rfam family: Bacterial small subunit ribosomal RNA
Source: RNAcentral